This 729-nucleotide ribosomal RNA is filed under the name uncultured Gammaproteobacteria bacterium. Its description in RNAcentral is "bacterial SSU rRNA". It matches the Rfam family "Bacterial small subunit ribosomal RNA", at positions 62 to 783 of the family's 1533-position model. Lineage: Bacteria; Pseudomonadati; Pseudomonadota; Gammaproteobacteria. The record is from RNAcentral.
UCGAGGGGUACAGAGAAAAGCUUGCUUUUUUGCUGACGACCGGCGCACGGGUGCGUAACGCGUAUACAAUCUGCCUUAUACAGAGNGAUAGCCUUUAGAAAUGAAGAUUAAUACCUUAUAGUCUAUAUAUAUAGCAUUAUAUAAAUAGUAAAGCUUCGGUGGUAUAAGAUGAGUAUGCGUCCUAUUAGUUAGUUGGUGAGGUAACGGCUUACCAAGACAACGAUAGGUAGGGGCCCUGAGAGGGGGAUCCCCCACACUGGUACUGAGACACGGACCAGACUCCUACGGGAGGCAGCAGUGAGGAAUAUUGGACAAUGGAGGCAACUCUGAUCCAGCCAUGCCGCGUGCAGGAAGACGGCCCUAUGGGUUGUAAACUGCUUUUAUAUAGGAAGAAACCUUUUCACGUGUGAGAAGCUGACGGUACUAUAAGAAUAAGGACCGGCUAACUCCGUGCCAGCAGCCGCGGUAAUACGGAGGGUCCGAGCGUUAUCCGGAAUCAUUGGGUUUAAAGGGUCCGUAGGCGGGAAUCUAAGUCAGUGGUGAAAUCUUGCAGCUCAACUGUAAAAUUGCCAUUGAUACUGGAUUUCUUGAAUUAGUGUGAAGUGGUUAGAAUGUGUAGUGUAGCGGUGAAAUGCAUAGAUAUUACACAGAAUACCAAUUGCGAAGGCAGAUCACUAACACUAUAUUGACGCUGAGGGACGAAAGCGUGGGGAGCGAACAGGAUUAGAU